GAUCUUGUAGUAUAUCUAAUAAAUACGGUAAACUGCAACUUUACCAAUGCUAAGCCAAGAUCUC
Molecule: transfer RNA, 64 nt
Filed under: Parvasolenaia rivularis
Lineage: Eukaryota; Metazoa; Mollusca; Bivalvia; Unionida; Unionidae
Description: Solenaia rivularis tRNA-Cys
Source: RNAcentral